RNAcentral lists this small nuclear RNA (113 nucleotides) under Penaeus monodon (black tiger shrimp). RNAcentral describes it as "U5 spliceosomal RNA". It matches the Rfam family "U5 spliceosomal RNA". From Rfam's summary of the family: U5 RNA is a component of both types of known spliceosome. The precise function of this molecule is unknown, though it is known that the 5' loop is required for splice site selection and p220 binding, and that both the 3' stem-loop and the Sm site are important for Sm protein binding and cap methylation. Lineage: Eukaryota; Metazoa; Arthropoda; Malacostraca; Decapoda; Penaeidae. The record is from RNAcentral.
UACUCGGGUUUUCCCCUUCAAACCGAAUAAAUCUUUCGCCUUUACUAAAGAUUUCCGGGAGGGGAACAAUUGAUGAGUCUAAAAUAUUUUUUGGUACCAGAAAAAAAACUGGG